Molecule: ribosomal RNA, 446 nt
Filed under: uncultured prokaryote
Description: bacterial SSU rRNA
Rfam family: Bacterial small subunit ribosomal RNA
Source: RNAcentral
UCGAGAAUCUUCCGCAAUGGGCGAAAGCCUGACGGAGCGACACCGCGUGCAGGAUGAAGGCCUUCGGGUCGUAAACUGCUGUCACGCCAUAGGAAUGGCGCGUCGUUAAUAGCGGCGCGCUUGACCAAAGCGAGAGGAAGCACCGGCUAACUCCGUGCCAGCAGCCGCGGUAAGACGGAGGGUGCGAACGUUGUUCGGAAUCACUGGGCAUAAAGAGCACGUAGGCGGCCAGGUCAGUCCGGUGUGAAAGCCCCCGGCUCAACCGGGGAACUGCACCGGAUACUGCUUGGCUCGAGGACGGUUGGGGUGAGUGGAACUCCUGGUGGAGCGGUGAAAUGCGUAGAUAUCAGGAGGAACACCGGUGGCGAAAGCGGCUCACUGGACCGUCUCUGACGCUGAGGUGCGAAAGCUAGGGUAGCGAACGGGAUUAGAUACCCCUGUAGUCC